RNAcentral lists this ribosomal RNA (2303 nucleotides) under Proteobacteria bacterium SW_6_67_9. RNAcentral describes it as "bacterial LSU rRNA". It matches the Rfam family "Bacterial large subunit ribosomal RNA", at positions 661 to 2925 of the family's 2925-position model. Lineage: Bacteria; Pseudomonadati; Pseudomonadota. The record is from RNAcentral.
GGGAGCCGUAGGGAAACCGAGUCUUAAACGGGCGCGCAGUCGCUGGAAGUAGACCCGAAACCGGGCGAUCUACCCAUGGCCAGGGUGAAGGUGGGGUAACACCCACUGGAGGCCCGAACCCACCGACGUUGAAAAGUCGGGGGAUGAGCUGUGGGUAGGAGUGAAGGGCUAAUCAAGCUCGGAGAUAGCUGGUUCUCCCCGAAACCUAUUUAGGUAGGCCCUCGUGUAUCACUGCCGGGGGUAGAGCACUGUCAUGGCUAGGGGCCCGUAUAGGGUUACCAAACCAUAGCAAACUCCGAAUACCGGCAAGUGCAGCACGGGAGACAGACGGUGGGCGCUAAGGUUCAUCGUCGAAAGGGAAACAGCCCAGACCGCCAGCUAAGGUCCCCAAAUCACGGCUCAGUGGUUAACGAUGUGGGAAGGCAGAGACAGCCAGUAGGUUGGCUUAGAAGCAGCCACCCUUUAAAGAAAGCGUAAUAGCUCACUGGUCGAGUCGGCCCGCGCGGAAGAUAUAACGGGGCUUAAGUCGUGUACCGAAGCUGCGGACGCGUCUUUGGACGCGUGGUAGGGGAGCGUUCCGUACGCCGCCGAAGGUGUGCCGAAAGGCAUGCUGGAGGUAUCGGAAGUGCGAAUGCUGACAUGAGUAACGAUAAAGGGGGUGAGAGGCCCCCUCGCCGAAAGCCCAAGGUUUCCUGCGCAACGCUAAUCGGCGCAGGGUUAGUCGGUCCCUAAGGCGAGGCCGAAAGGCGUAGCCGAUGGGAAACAGGUCAACAUUCCUGUACCUCUCGAUACUGCGAAGGGGGGACGGAGAAGGCUAGGCGGUCCGGGCGCGUGGUUGUCCCGGUCCAAGCGUGUAGGGAGUACCUCUAGGCAAAUCCGGAGGUGCAAUCCUGAGACGCGACGGCGAGCUCCCAUUGGGGGGCGAAGCCGCCGAUGCCCUGCUCCCUGGAAAAGCCUCUAAGCGAAGGUGUCGAGAGACCGUACCCCAAACCGACACAGGUGGGCAGGGUGAGAAUCCCAAGGCGCUUGAGAGAACUCGGGUGAAGGAACUCGGCAAAAUGGCACCGUAACUUCGGGAGAAGGUGCGCCCGGUCUGGUGAAGGACCUCGCGUCCGGAGCUGGGCUGGGCCGAAGUGACCAGGCGGCUACGACUGUUUACUAAAAACACAGCACUCUGCUAACUCGCAAGAGGACGUAUAGGGUGUGACGCCUGCCCGGUGCCGGAAGGUUAAGUGAUGGGGUUAGCCUCCGGGCGAAGCUCCUGAUCGAAGCCCCGGUAAACGGCGGCCGUAACUAUAACGGUCCUAAGGUAGCGAAAUUCCUUGUCGGGUAAGUUCCGACCUGCACGAAUGGCGUAACGAUGGCCGCGCUGUCUCCACCCGAGACUCAGUGAAAUUGAAAUCGCUGUGAAGAUGCAGUGUACCCGCGGCAAGACGGAAAGACCCCGUGAACCUUUACUACAGCUUCACACUGAACUUUGAGCAUACUUGUGUAGGAUAGGUGGGAGGCGAUGAAGUGAGGGCGCUAGCCCUCAUGGAGCCGCCCUUGAAAUACCACCCUGGUAUGUUCGGAGUUCUAACCUAGGCCCGUUAUCCGGGUCGGGGACAGUGUGUGGUGGGUAGUUUGACUGGGGCGGUCUCCUCCCAAAGCGUAACGGAGGAGUGCGAAGGUACCCUCAGCGCGGUCGGAAAUCGCGCAGUGCGUGUAAAGGCAGAAGGGUGCUUGACUGCGAGACGUACAAGUCGAGCAGGUGCGAAAGCAGGUCUUAGUGAUCCGGUGGCUCUGAAUGGAAGGGCCAUCGCUCAACGGAUAAAAGGUACUCCGGGGAUAACAGGCUGAUUCCUCCCAAGAGUCCAUAUCGACGGAGGAGUUUGGCACCUCGAUGUCGGCUCAUCACAUCCUGGGGCUGUAGCAGGUCCCAAGGGUAUGGCUGUUCGCCAUUUAAAGUGGUACGCGAGCUGGGUUUAGAACGUCGUGAGACAGUUCGGUCCCUAUCUGCCGUGGGCGUUGGAGACUUGAGGGAAGCUGCUCCUAGUACGAGAGGACCGGAGUGGACAUACCUCUGGUGUGCCGGUUGUCACGCCAGUGGCAUUGCCGGGUAGCUACGUAUGGUCGGGAUAACCGCUGAAAGCAUCUAAGCGGGAAGCCCCUCCCAAGAUUAGGUCUCCCUGGACCCGCGAGGUCCCUGAAGGUCCGUCGAAGACUACGACGUUGAUAGGCCGGAUGUGUAAGUGCAGUAAUGCAUGGAGCUAACCGGUACUAAUUGACCGUGAGGCUUGACCAUAUAACGCCCAAGCGGUUGG